UGUUCGUUUUACACAUAUAUGUUUUGUUAAAACAACACAAAUAUAUUUAGUUUUCCGACAAAACACAAUUGUAUUGUGUUUAAUCAACUUAAAAUGUUUAAUUUUAAAUUUUACUUAAUUAUCAAUCGUUAAAGUAACGUAAAGGGUUUAAUUUCGUGAUUCAAAAAAAACCGGAAGUGACGAUUUCCAACGCAUUUGAUGACGGUGUGGAGGGGAGCAAGAGGUAUCAGUCAGGUUUGUGCAGAAUUUGAGACAUCCAGAAUUACCAUAGGCCCAUUAGAAUCAACAAUCUUUGCCAAACUUGAUUCGGACUGCAAAAUUUACGAAGAUGUUUUCAUACUGAAGAAGAGACCUUGGACAAAUACUGAAACCCUCUUGGUGCCCACUACACAGGCAGGGGUGUCCAGACCUGCUCUAGGAAAGCCAGUGUUCUGUGGGGUUCAGCUCUAACACA
Carassius auratus (goldfish) is the source of this 454-nucleotide long non-coding RNA. RefSeq lists it as uncharacterized. The transcript has 3 exons. The record is from RefSeq and is a predicted model, not a curated record. Lineage: Eukaryota; Metazoa; Chordata; Actinopteri; Cypriniformes; Cyprinidae.